Salvia splendens (bonfire salvia) is the source of this 1611-nucleotide long non-coding RNA. RefSeq lists it as uncharacterized. The record is from RefSeq and is a predicted model, not a curated record. Lineage: Eukaryota; Viridiplantae; Streptophyta; Magnoliopsida; Lamiales; Lamiaceae. The transcript is spliced from 2 exons.
CCCUUCAUUCCCAAUUUGGAAAAAAAACUCAAUCCCUAAAUUAAUCCGCCGCUCCCUUUAUCUCAUCCAUUCGGCGCUUCACUCCGGGCAGCCGUCUUGCGCCGCCGUCGUCUCCCCCUCGGCGUCUCGCGUUGGGUGUAGUCUGCCUGCGCGAAGUCGGUGCCGCCUCCGUCUCCAGCCGACGCCGCGGCAGUGUAGCCGCCUCAGUCGGGUCUCCCCCGUCGCGUCGAGGCAGUAAACGCCCGUGCCGGCGCUGUCCCCUCUCCGGCGAGCUCGUCGCCUCCUCGGUCGACUCUCCGGGAUUCCGUCGCUGCAUGCCCGUCGGUCACUGCCGCUGUUGCGCCGAGACCAGCCCGUCGUGCAGUUCGAGCUCACGGAGCUUCUUUCCGUCGUUGCUCGGAGUCUCCGGAUGGCUCUUUCCUAAGCUAAGUCUUCCUAUCUUAGCUAUUUAGGUGGUUUCUUUAGGCAGAGUCUGUCCUUGUUUCAUAGUUUUAGAUUUAGGCAGAUUGUAGUUGUUCUUCGAAGAAAUCGGCAUAUUGAACAAUCUGGACCUUUGGCUUACAGUUUUGAACUUAUUUCUUACUGAUUGUGAGGGGUAAACAUUACUUGAAGGAACUUGUGUAUACAUGAUGGUUUCUAUAUAUGUUUUUUGUUCUCACAAGUGCAGAUAAGAAUGUGUGUAUUGCAGUGGAGAAAUUGUUGUGAUUCUUGACACAUGAUUUUUUUUCUAAUUUUAUUUCAUACACAAGGAAUGUGAAAGGGGUCCCCUAUCUUGGUUGUUACUGAUUCUUCGUCGUAGGUUUGCUAAGUGAUAUUGUUGUACUUAAGCAUGAUUGUGUAGUGGUGUUCUACAUGGAUGAAAUGAGUCAUAAGGAGAGUUGUGUGUUACUACCUCUUGAAGGGGGUUUCUGCUCUUGAGGUUUCUGAUUAGUACUUGGAAUUUCUCUUACUUACUCAACUUGCUAUGUUGCUGAAAUUUUCGAAAUAUGUGGAAGGGGGAAAUUUGAUGAGUGUGAAAGGGGUUUUAUAGGCAGGUAUUGGUGUAUUUUUUGAGGAAUUAAAUGGGCUGUCCACCAUCUUUGUUUUCAUAUUGCAGAAGAUCCCUUGUUGGUGAUCCUCACUACUCCUUUCAAUUACUUCAUUCGUCUCUUUCUUGAAGUAUAAGUACUCCCUUUAUUAAGGUUACUUGUUUGGAUGUGCAGGGAGUGAGGUGGCUGUUAGGAACAGGUGCUGCAGGUGUACAUAGUGAGGAUGCAGAGGUUUGUUGGAGGUGAGAGUGCAGAGUUGCAGCUGCUGCAGGCUGAUCUUGAGGGAGAGAGUGUUUCAGACUUUGACUUGCCCAUUUGGGUGGGAAGAAGACUACUUGGAUGCCAUUGCUGUACACGGCUGCUGUGUUGUUGCUGUUUUUAGAGGGCCUGGGCUCACUGCCCUGGGCCGACGGGCUGACCGGGCCGCGGUGGGUGCGACUUGGGCUCGGACGACAAGGCCCAAAGUUUAGCAUUCCUAAAAUUUGUAAUAGGAUAGUGUUUUCCAAGUUUUCUUUCUUUCCAUUCUCAAAUCAUAUGUGAAACAUUUAUAAAAGUUAAUAUAUAUUGUUCUCGAUCCCCCUUA